Piliocolobus tephrosceles (Ugandan red Colobus) is the source of this 564-nucleotide long non-coding RNA. RefSeq lists it as uncharacterized. The record is from RefSeq and is a predicted model, not a curated record. The transcript is spliced from 4 exons. Lineage: Eukaryota; Metazoa; Chordata; Mammalia; Primates; Cercopithecidae.
AGAUAGAUUUAGCUGGUGGUGCAGAGAUCCGUGAGCUUGCUUUUGCAGGACUUUAAUGAUAUAUAAAAGCAGCAUGAAGUGAUCCUGACUGUGGAUUAAUUUGGAGAUGACUUUCUCUGUUGAAGAGUGGCAAGACUCUUGCAAGUUCUUAAAAAUGCACUUGUUGAUAUGAGAAUGAAAAGCAGUGGCUGAAGAACCAGUCUUCAAUGGGCAAGGCUUCUCUGUGUCUGUUCUAACAUGUCAUCUGGGAUCCCUUGGAAUCUUCAUGUACAGAACCGGUUGCUGCCUCAUUGAGUUGGUGGGCACAGAAUAGCUCCUGGUUGGCAGCAUGGGUUGUGCAGAAGGACGGAUCCUGCAGACAUCAAUAUCUGGCUUUGAGUGGCACAAAUAAAUAAAGGAAUGUGGAUUCAGACCUCACUGGGGUGCUUGGCAAUUCUAAUUCUACCCCAGACUGCAAAUGGACACAAAACUGUUGCGACUUUUGUUGAAGAGGAGAAGGAUGGCACAGAAGCUGGAUUCAGAAGCACACAGGUCUGGGGAUGCAGGCUUCGGCCACCCUGAUGC